Molecule: ribosomal RNA, 346 nt
Filed under: uncultured Glomeromycotina
Lineage: Eukaryota; Fungi; Glomeromycota
Description: SSU rRNA
Rfam family: Eukaryotic small subunit ribosomal RNA
Source: RNAcentral
CUUCUUGUAGAACCGUAAUGCCAUUAAUUUGGUGUUGCGGGGAAACAGGACUGUUACUUUGAAAAAAUUAGAGUGUUUAAAGCAGGCUAGCGCCUGAAUACAUUAGCAUGGAAUAAUGAAAUAGGACGUUCGAACCUAUUUUGUUGGUUUCUAGGAUUGACGUAAUGAUUAAUAGGGAUAGUUGGGGGCAUUAGUAUUCAAUUGUCAGAGGUGAAAUUCUUGGAUUUAUUGAAGACUAACUACUGCGAAAGCAUUUGCCAAGGAUGUUUUCAUUAAUCAAGAACGAAAGUUAGGGGAUCGAAAACGAUCAGAUACCGUCGUAGUCUUAACCAUAAACUAUGCCGAC